This 460-nucleotide ribosomal RNA is filed under the name uncultured Sphingobacteriales bacterium. Its description in RNAcentral is "bacterial SSU rRNA". It matches the Rfam family "Bacterial small subunit ribosomal RNA", at positions 338 to 795 of the family's 1533-position model. Lineage: Bacteria; Pseudomonadati; Bacteroidota; Sphingobacteriia; Sphingobacteriales. The record is from RNAcentral.
CCUACGGGGGGCUGCAGUAAGGAAUAUUGGUCAAUGGAGGGAACUCUGAACCAGCCAUCCCGCGUGCAGGAUGAAGGGGCUCUGCCCUGUAAACUGCUUUUGAAUGGGACGAAAAAGCCUCACUUGUGAGGAACUGACGGUACCAUUAGAAUAAGCACCGGCUAACUCCGUGCCAGCAGCCGCGGUAAUACGGAGGGUGCAAGCGUUAUCCGGAAUCACUGGGUUUAAAGGGUGCGUAGGCGGUUGUAUAAGUCAGUGGUGAAAGGCCGUAGCUUAACUAUGGGAUUGCCAUUGAUACUGUAUGACUUGAAUGAGGUUGAGGUUGGCGGAAUGUGGCAUGUAGCGGUGAAAUGCUUAGAUAUGCCAUGGAACAUCGAUUGCGAAGGCAGCUGACUGGACCUGAAUUGACGCUGAGGCACGAAAGCGUGGGGAGCGAACAGGCUUAGAUACCCUAGUAGUC